Molecule: unclassified non-coding RNA, 219 nt
Filed under: rhizosphere metagenome
Description: partial ribosomal RNA internal transcribed spacer region
Source: RNAcentral
GUUGGUGAACCAGCGGAGGGAUCAUUACUGAGUUAUCCAACUCCCAAACCCCUGUGAACAUACCUAUGUUGCUUCGGCGGGUCGUCCCGCGGCGCGCCCUCGUGGCGUGACCCGGACCCAGGCGCCCGCCGGGGAACCAAACUCUUGUCUUCCAGUGUCUCCUCUGAGUGGCAUAAGCAAAAAUAAACAAAACUUUCAGCAACGGAUCUCUUGGUUCUG